CCUACGGGGGGCAGCAGUGAGGAAUAUUGGUCAAUGGGCGCGAGCCUGAACCAGCCAAGUAGCGUGAAGGAUGACUGCCCUACGGGUUGUACACUUCUUUUAUAAAGGAAUCAAGUGAGGCACGUGUGCCUUUUUGUAUGUACUUUAUGACUAAGGAUCGGCUAACUCCGUGCCAGCAGCCGCGGUAAUACGGAGGAUCCGAGCGUUAUCCGGAUUUAUUGGGUUUAAAGGGAGCGUAAAUGGGUUGUUAAGUCAGUUGUGAAAGUUUGCGGCUCAACCGUAAAAUUGCAAUUGAUACUGGCAGUCUCGAGUACAGUUGAGGUAGGCGGAAUUCGUGGUGUAGCGGUGAAAUGCUUAGAUAUCACGAAGAACUCCGAUUGCGAAGGCAGCUUACUAAACUGCCACUGACAUUGAUGCUCGAAAGUGUGGGUAUCAAACAGGAUUAGAUACCCGGGUAGUC
This 460-nucleotide ribosomal RNA is filed under the name uncultured bacterium. RNAcentral's name for it is "partial 16S ribosomal RNA". It matches the Rfam family "Bacterial small subunit ribosomal RNA", at positions 338 to 795 of the family's 1533-position model. The record is from RNAcentral.